Molecule: ribosomal RNA, 396 nt
Filed under: uncultured bacterium
Lineage: Bacteria
Description: partial 16S ribosomal RNA
Rfam family: Bacterial small subunit ribosomal RNA
Source: RNAcentral
AUACGUAGGGGGCGAGCGUUGUCCGGAAUAAUUGGGCGUAAAGGGCGCGUAGGCGGCCUGUUAAGUCUGGAGUGAAAGUCCUGUUUUCAAGAUGGAAUUGCUUUGGAUACUGAUGGGCUUGAGUGCAGGAGAGGUUAUCGGAAUUCCCGGUGUAGCGGUGAAAUGCGUAGAGAUCGGGAGGAACACCAGUGGCGAAGGCGGGUAACUGGACUGCAACUGACGCUGAGGCGCGAAAGUGUGGGGAGCAAACAGGAUUAGAUACCCUGGUAGUCCACACUGUAAACGAUGAAUGCUAGGUGUAAGAGGUAUCGACCCCUUUUGUGCCGGAGUUAACACAACAAGCAUUCCGCCUGGGGAGUACGGCCGCAAGGUUGAAACUCAAAGGAAUUGACGGGG